UACGGAGGGGGCGAGCGUUAUUCGGAAUUAUUGGGCGUAAAGGGCGCGUAGGCGGCCCUGCAAGUCAAAGGUGAAAUCCCUCGGCUCAACUGAGGAACUGCCUUUGAAACUGCGGGGCUUGAGGCCGGGAGGGGGUAGCGGAAUUCCCAGUGUAGCGGUGAAAUGCGUAGAUAUUCGCAAGAACACCAGUGGCGAAGGCGGCUCACUGGCCCGGUACUGACGCUGAGGAGCGAAAGCGUGGGGAGCGAACAGG
Molecule: ribosomal RNA, 253 nt
Filed under: uncultured bacterium
Lineage: Bacteria
Description: partial 16S ribosomal RNA
Rfam family: Bacterial small subunit ribosomal RNA
Source: RNAcentral